This 490-nucleotide long non-coding RNA is filed under the name Rattus norvegicus (Norway rat). RNAcentral describes it as "long non-coding RNA NONRATT001992". The record is from RNAcentral. Lineage: Eukaryota; Metazoa; Chordata; Mammalia; Rodentia; Muridae.
ACUUAAAACUUGCCAAGGCCCUCUGCUUUCAGGACGUCCAAAUCUUCGUCCAGUGUUGGGUUCUCCACCAAGUCGCUGUUCUCUAGCUGUUUUAGCUCCCAUUGCUCAUUAUCUUGUGAAAGUCUAAGCCACCUCUGGGCCCAUCCUCCGCUCUCCCUGACCUCAUGCUAUUCACUCUGUAAUGUUCUAGCUCACACUAUUUAUCCUUUCCCGGAAAUUUCACUGGUGGAUAUCAGCCGCUUGUAUUGCUUAACAGGCCAGGCCAACCCCCUCUAACUCCAUUUGAUUGAAGUCUCUUGGGGGACUCAUCGUUUCUUUUGCACCUCCCACAUGAUUUGAAUGAUGAAGAGUAAGAACUCUGUGCAGGAAAAGCACUCCUGUGAUUACUUGAUGUCUGUCAUUUCCCCGUGCAUAACACCCUGUGUUUCCCUCCAUCACUCUGCCAGUCUAAUAAUCAAAUAAAAGCUUUGAAAGGCAUUGCUUCCGCUUG